GACGAACGCUGGCGGCGUGCUUAACACAUGCAAGUCGAACGGAAAGGCCCUGCUUUUGUGGGGUGCUCGAGUGGCGAACGGGUGAGUAACACGUGAGUAACCUGCCCUUGACUUUGGGAUAACUUCAGGAAACUGGGGCUAAUACCGGAUAGGAGCUCCUGCUGCAUGGUGGGGGUUGGAAAGUUUCGGCGGUUGGGGAUGGACUCGCGGCUUAUCAGCUUGUUGGUGGGGUAGUGGCUUACCAAGGCUUUGACGGGUAGCCGGCCUGAGAGGGUGACCGGCCACAUUGGGACUGAGAUACGGCCCAGACUCCUACGGGAGGCAGCAGUGGGGAAUAUUGCACAAUGGGCGGAAGCCUGAUGCAGCAACGCCGCGUGCGGGAUGACGGUCUUCGGGUUGUAAACCGCUUUCGCCUGUGACGAAGCGUGAGUGACGGUAAUGGGUAAAGAAGCACCGGCUAACUACGUGCCAGCAGCCGCGGUGAUACGUAGGGUGCGAGCGUUGUCCGGAUUUAUUGGGCGUAGAGGGCUCGUAGGUGGUUGAUCGCGUCGGAAGUGUAAUCUUGGGGCUUAACCCUGAGCGUGCUUUCGAUACGGGUUGACUUGAGGAAGGUAGGGGAGAAUGGAAUUCCUGGUGGAGCGGUGGAAUGCGCAGAUAUCAGGAGGAACACCAGUGACGAAGGCGGUUCUCUGGGCCUUUCCUGACGCUGAGGAGCGAAAGCGUGGGGAGCGAACAGGCUUAGAUACCCUGGUAGUCCACGCUGUAAACGGUGGGUACUAGGUGUGGGGUCCAUUCCACGGGUUCCGUGCCGUAGCUAACGCUUUAAGUACCCCGCCUGGGGAGUACGGCCGCAAGGCUAAAACUCAAAGGAAUUGACGGGGCCCCGCACAAGCGGCGGAGCAUGCGGAUUAAUUCGAUGCAACGCGUAGAACCUUACCUGGGUUUGACAUGGAUCGGGAGCGCUCAGAGAUGGGUGUGCCUCUUUUGGGGUCGGUUCACAGGUGGUGCAUGGCUGUCGUCAGCUCGUGUCGUGAGAUGUUGGGUUAAGUCCCGCAACGAGCGCAACCCUUGUUCACUGUUGCCAGCACGUUAUGGUGGGGACUCAGUGGAGACCGCCGGGGUCAACUCGGAGGAAGGUGGGGAUGACGUCAAGUCAUCAUGCCCCUUAUGUCCAGGGCUUCACGCAUGCUACAAUGGCUGGUACAGAGAGUGGCGAGCCUGUGAGGGUGAGCGAAUCUCGGAAAGCCGGUCUCAGUUCGGAUUGGGGUCUGCAACUCGACCUCAUGAAGUCGGAGUCGCUAGUAAUCGCAGAUCAGCAACGCUGCGGUGAAUACGUUCCCGGG
RNAcentral lists this ribosomal RNA (1343 nucleotides) under uncultured bacterium. RNAcentral describes it as "16S ribosomal RNA". It matches the Rfam family "Bacterial small subunit ribosomal RNA", at positions 28 to 1378 of the family's 1533-position model. The record is from RNAcentral.